Molecule: unclassified non-coding RNA, 268 nt
Filed under: Rickettsia africae
Lineage: Bacteria; Pseudomonadati; Pseudomonadota; Alphaproteobacteria; Rickettsiales; Rickettsiaceae
Source: RNAcentral
CUGUGAGAUUACAUAUGCAUAUAGUGUUAAUGCUAUAAGAGUGUAGUAUCUACUCACAAAGUUAUCAGGUUAAAUAGUUUUAUCAACUAAUAAAAAUGUUAUUGCAUAAUUAAUGUUAUACUGUAGCCCUGCCACGAUAUCCAGCGAAAGUUAUUUUGCUGAGUAUCGGUAGUAAAAGUUAAGAUUAAGAUAUGAUGUUGAGAAUUUUUUUGAGUCGUGCAACAACAUUAACAGCAAACUAUAAUACAAAUCUAUCUUUUUAAAAGUU